UAUCGGGUGAAGCAAUAAGCAAGAAGCGU
Molecule: small RNA, 29 nt
Filed under: Bombyx mori (domestic silkworm)
Lineage: Eukaryota; Metazoa; Arthropoda; Insecta; Lepidoptera; Bombycidae
Description: piRNA piR-bmo-2137508
Source: RNAcentral